UACGUAGGAUGCGAGCGUUAUCCGGAUUUAUUGGGUUUAAAGGGUGCGUAGGCGGGAUGCCAAGUCAGCGGUAAAAAUGCGGUGCUCAACGCCGUCGAGCCGUUGAAACUGGCGUUCUUGAGUGGGCGAGAAGUACGCGGAAUGCGUGGUGUAGCGGUGAAAUGCAUAGAUAUCACGCAGAACUCCGAUUGCGAAGGCAGCAUACCGGCGCCCUACUGACGCUGAGGCACGAAAGCGUGGGUAUCGAACAGG
This 252-nucleotide ribosomal RNA is filed under the name uncultured bacterium. Its description in RNAcentral is "partial 16S ribosomal RNA". It matches the Rfam family "Bacterial small subunit ribosomal RNA", at positions 524 to 776 of the family's 1533-position model. The record is from RNAcentral.